AACGAACGCUGGCGGCAGGCCUAACACAUGCAAGUCGAACGCCCUAGCAAUAGGGAGUGGCAGACGGGUGAGUAACGCGUGGGAACGUGCCUUUCGGUUCGGAAUAACUCAGGGAAACUUGAGCUAAUACCGGAUACGCCCUUCGGGGGAAAGAUUUAUUGCCGAAAGAUCGGCCCGCGUCCGAUUAGCUAGUUGGUGAGGUAAAGGCUCACCAAGGCGACGAUCGGUAGCUGGUCUGAGAGGAUGAUCAGCCACACUGGGACUGAGACACGGCCCAGACUCCUACGGGAGGCAGCAGUGGGGAAUAUUGGACAAUGGGCGCAAGCCUGAUCCAGCCAUGCCGCGUGAGUGAUGAAGGCCCUAGGGUUGUAAAGCUCUUUCGCCAGGGACGAUAAUGACGGUACCUGGAUAAGAAGCCCCGGCUAACUUCGUGCCAGCCGCCGCCUAGA
RNAcentral lists this ribosomal RNA (449 nucleotides) under uncultured bacterium. RNAcentral's name for it is "partial 16S ribosomal RNA". It matches the Rfam family "Bacterial small subunit ribosomal RNA", at positions 29 to 523 of the family's 1533-position model. The record is from RNAcentral.